This 429-nucleotide ribosomal RNA is filed under the name Actinomycetes bacterium. RNAcentral's name for it is "Actinobacteria bacterium partial 16S ribosomal RNA". It matches the Rfam family "Bacterial small subunit ribosomal RNA", at positions 355 to 776 of the family's 1533-position model. The record is from RNAcentral. Lineage: Bacteria; Bacillati; Actinomycetota; Actinomycetes.
UAGGGAAUCUUCCGCAAUGGGCGAAAGCCUGACGGCGCAACGCCGCGUGAGUGAUGAAGGUCUUCGGAUCGUAAAACUCUGUUAUUAGGGAAGAACAAAUGUGUAAGUAACUAUGCACGUCUUGACGGUACCUAAUCAGAAAGCCACGGCUAACUACGUGCCAGCAGCCGCGGUAAUACGUAGGUGGCAAGCGUUAUCCGGUAUUAUUGGGCGUAAAGCGCGCGUAGGCGGUUUUUUAAGUCUGAUGUGAAAGCCCACGGCUCAACCGUGGAGGGUCAUUGGAAACUGGAAAACUUGAUUGCAGAAGAGGAAAGUGGAAUUCCAUGUGUAGCGGUGAAAUGCGGAGAGAUAUGGAGGAACACCAGUGGCGAAGGCGACUUUCUGGUCUGUAACUGACGCUGAUGUGCGAAAGCGUGGGGAUCAAACAGG